GAUGAACGCUGGCGGCGUGCCUAAUACAUGCAAGUCGAGCGAACAGAUGAGGAGCUUGCUCCUCUGACGUUAGCGGCGGACGGGUGAGUAGCACGUGGAUAACCUACCUAUAAGACUGGGAUAACUUCGGGAAACCGGAGCUAAUACCGGAUAAUAUAUUGAACCGCAUGGUUCAAUAGUGAAAGACGGUUUUGCUGUCACUUAUAGAUGGAUCCGCGCCGCAUUAGCUAGUUGGUAAGGUAACGGCUUACCAAGGCAACGAUGCGUAGCCGACCUGAGAGGGUGAUCGGCCACACUGGAACUGGGACACGGUCCAGACUCCUACGGGAGGCAGCAGUAGGGAAUCUUCCGCAAUGGGCGAAAGCCUGACGGAGCAACGCCGCGUGAGUGAUGAAGGUCUUCGGAUCGUAAAACUCUGUUAUUAGGGAAGAACAAAUGUGUAAGUAACUAUGCACGUCUUGACGGUACCUAAUCAGAAAGCCACGGCUAACUACGUG
Molecule: ribosomal RNA, 497 nt
Filed under: uncultured bacterium
Lineage: Bacteria
Description: partial 16S ribosomal RNA
Rfam family: Bacterial small subunit ribosomal RNA
Source: RNAcentral